RNAcentral lists this ribosomal RNA (524 nucleotides) under Boophis miniatus. Its description in RNAcentral is "partial 12S ribosomal RNA". The stretch from base 1 to 451 matches the Rfam family "Bacterial small subunit ribosomal RNA", at positions 892 to 1533 of the family's 1533-position model. The record is from RNAcentral. Lineage: Eukaryota; Metazoa; Chordata; Amphibia; Anura; Mantellidae.
GCUUAAAAUCCAAAGGACUUGACGGUGCCCCAUCCCCCUAGAGGAGCCUGUUCUAUAAUCGAUAACCCCCGCUACACCUCACCACUUUUUGCAUCAAGCAGCCUGUAUACUUCCGUCGUAAGCUAGCCAUAUGAGUGUAUCAUAGCAAGCUAAAUUGCCUAUUUUCGUCAACACGUCAGGUCAAGGUGCAGCUUAUAAAAUGGUAAGAAAUGGGCUACAAUUUCUAACUUAGAACAAACGAACAAUCAUCUGAAACUAUGGUCACGAAGGUGGAUUUAGUAGUAAAAGGGGAAAAUAGUGCCCCCUUUAAUAGCGGCCAUGGGACGCGUACAAACCGCCCGUCACCCUCUUCAAUAGCGUACUCUUAGUCUAUAACACACCCCAGCUCUUUAGAGGAGGCAAGUCGUAACACGGUAAGCGUACUGGAAAGUGCUCUUGGAUAUGCAAAAUGUAGCUUAGUAAAGCCUCCCGCUUACACCGGGAAGACAUCCGUUAAAAUCAGAUCAUUUUGAGCUAUAAAUCUA